RNAcentral lists this transfer RNA (87 nucleotides) under Candidatus Lloydbacteria bacterium RIFCSPHIGHO2_01_FULL_41_20. RNAcentral's name for it is "tRNA-Ser". It matches the Rfam family "tRNA". From Rfam's summary of the family: Transfer RNA (tRNA) molecules are approximately 80 nucleotides in length. Their secondary structure includes four short double-helical elements and three loops (D, anti-codon, and T loops). Lineage: Bacteria; Candidatus Lloydiibacteriota. The record is from RNAcentral.
GGAGGAGUGGCUGAGUGGUUGAAGGCACCGCUCUCGAAAAGCGGCAGGCUCGAAAGGGUCUCGUGAGUUCAAAUCUCACCUCCUCCG